This 717-nucleotide ribosomal RNA is filed under the name Paenibacillus sp. KCA9. RNAcentral describes it as "bacterial SSU rRNA". It matches the Rfam family "Bacterial small subunit ribosomal RNA", at positions 70 to 774 of the family's 1533-position model. The record is from RNAcentral. Lineage: Bacteria; Bacillati; Bacillota; Bacilli; Caryophanales; Paenibacillaceae.
GUUAGGGAGCUUGCUCCUUAACUUGGUUAGUGGCGGACGGGUGAGUAACACGUAGGCAACCUGCCCUUAAGAUCGGGAUAACAUUCGGAAACGGAUGCUAAGACCGGAUAAACAAUCUGGCUGCAUGGCUGGAUUGGGAAACAUGGUGCAACUAUGGCUUAAGGAUGGGCCUGCGGCGCAUUAGCUAGUUGGUGGGGUAAUGGCUCACCAAGGCGACGAUGCGUAGCCGACCUGAGAGGGUGAACGGCCACACUGGGACUGAGACACGGCCACUCCUACGGGAGGCAGCAGUAGGGAAUCUUCCACAAUGGGCGAAAGCCUGAUGGAGCAAUGCCGCGUGAGUGAGGAAGGCUUUCGGGUCGUAAAGCUCUGUUGCCAGGGAAGAAUAAGGGUGAGAGUAACUGCUCAUCCGAUGACGGUACCUGAGAAGAAAGCCCCGGCUAACUACGUGCCAGCAGCCGCGGUAAUACGUAGGGGGCAAGCGUUGUCCGGAAUUAUUGGGCGUAAAGCGCGCGCAGGCGGUUCUUUAAGUCUGGUGUCUAAGUGCGGGGCUCAACCCCGUGAUGCACUGGAAACUGGGGAACUUGAGUGCAGAAGAGGAGAGCGGAAUUCCACGUGUAGCGGUGAAAUGCGUAGAGAUGUGGAGGAACACCAGUGGCGAAGGCGGCUCUCUGGACUGUAACUGACGCUGAGGCGCGAAAGCGUGNGGAGCAAACA